RNAcentral lists this long non-coding RNA (199 nucleotides) under Elaeis guineensis (African oil palm). RNAcentral's name for it is "long non-coding RNA (EGUI_LNC013494)". The record is from RNAcentral. Lineage: Eukaryota; Viridiplantae; Streptophyta; Magnoliopsida; Arecales; Arecaceae.
GGCCAUCACUAUCGCUAGAAGUCAAUCAAUGAUCGAAUUGGGUGGAAAACAUUGGCAAUCCUACAACCAAAGCCAAAUGAGCUAAAUCAAUAUUCUCUACAAAGUGUCACCAUCUCAAAUCAUUCUGUCAGUUGAAUCUAGAGACAAGGCUUAUUACUGUCUAAUUAUUGCUUGGACCAAGUCUAAUGGAUCAUGCCAA